CAGGUCGUAAACUCGAUCUAAGGCUAAAUAUCUCCACAGAACCGAUAGCGAACAAGUACCGUGAGGGAAAGUUGAAAAGCACUCUGGAGAGAGAGUCAAAAGACCGUGAAACCGCUCAGAGUAUAAGCCCAUGGCAGCUUGGAAGGCAUAUCGCUAGCGGGGCAUCGGUCUCCCUUCACGGGGAGCUGGUGUUACCUUGCUUCUGUUGUGGCUCGUUAUGGUAGGGGGGUCAAGUCCACAUCCCGCCGUCGUGUGGGGAGUUCUCGGGCGUGUCGUUGCUUUGCGGUUGACUUCGGUUGGCCGUAGGGCUCUUCGCGCUUGGUUCUCCUUUGGACACGGACGUUCAGACUCAGUUGCAAGACGCGAUAACCAGCCCACCACGGCACGUUGUGAGGUCACCCACAGGCUUGGCUUUCGAUUGUGGUCCUUGACGCCGAGCAAGCACAAUGCGUGUCGCAGAUGUUCCUAACCGGGCAAUGGGCCAGGAUCGUGGAACGACACGCGCUCAAAAGUCAGGACCGGGCGAUGACAAAGUUCUGGUAUGAUCCUCAUGCGACGAGCCGGCUUCUGGCCGAUUCCGAUGCUCAGGUCUCCCGCAUGUGCCGCGGGAGAUCGCUUUGGCGGUCUGGAUCUCAAAGAGUCCUCUCAGCCGGGCAACGGAAAGAGUGGUGUAAAGUCCAAGCCCAUCGGUCACGUCUCGAAACACGGGCCAAGGAGUAUAGCAUGUGUGCAAGUCUAAGAGUCUCACAAAACUCGAAGGCGAAGUGAAAGCAAGUAAGCGGCGGGUGAUCUACGGAGAGAUCCCGUCAGCU
This 812-nucleotide ribosomal RNA is filed under the name Gammarus cf. fossarum E DCC-2015. Its description in RNAcentral is "partial 28S ribosomal RNA". It matches the Rfam family "Eukaryotic large subunit ribosomal RNA", at positions 293 to 762 of the family's 3401-position model. The record is from RNAcentral. Lineage: Eukaryota; Metazoa; Arthropoda; Malacostraca; Amphipoda; Gammaridae.